AACCUAGCACACCUGCGGUGUGUACCUGCGGAAGGAUCAUUACCGAGUUUACAACUCCCAAACCCCUGUGAACAUACCAAUUGUUGCCUCGGCGGAUCAGCCCGCUCCCGGUAAAACGGGACGGCCCGCCAGAGGACCCCUAAACUCUGUUUCUAUAUGUAACUUCUGAGUAAAACCAUAAAUAAAUCAAAACUUUUAACAACGGAUCU
Molecule: unclassified non-coding RNA, 209 nt
Filed under: soil metagenome
Description: partial contains 5.8S ribosomal RNA, internal transcribed spacer 2, and large subunit ribosomal RNA
Source: RNAcentral